This 169-nucleotide ribosomal RNA is filed under the name Carangichthys dinema (shadow trevally). RNAcentral describes it as "Carangoides dinema (shadow trevally) partial 12S ribosomal RNA". The record is from RNAcentral. Lineage: Eukaryota; Metazoa; Chordata; Actinopteri; Carangiformes; Carangidae.
CACCGCGGUUAUACGAGAGGCUCAAGUUGACAGACAACGGCGUAAAGAGUGGUUAAGGAAAAUACUCGACUAAAGCGGAACACCCUCAUAGCUGUUAUACGCUUCCGAGGGCAUGAACCCCAACUACGAAGGUGGCUUUACAUUACCUGAACCCACGAAAGCUAAGAAA